AUACGUAGGUGACAAGCGUUAUCCGGAUUUACUGGGCGUAAAGGGCGUGUAGGCGGUCUUGCAAGUCAGAAGUGAAAUUCCUGAGCUCAACUCGGGCGCUGCUUCUGAAACUGCAGGACUUGAGUGCUGGAGGGGAUAGCGGAAUUCCUAGUGGAGCGGUAAAAUGCGCAGAUAUUAGGAAGAACACCGGUGGCGAAGGCGGCUAUCUGGACAGUAACUGACGCUGAGGCGCGAAAGCGUGGGGAGCAAACAGGAUUAGAUACCCUUGUAGUCCACGCCGUAAACGAUGAAUACUAGGUGUAGGGGGUAUCGACUCCCUCUGUGCCGCAGUUAACACAAUAAGUAUUCCGCCUGGGAGUACGGCCGCAAGGUUGAAACUCAAAUGAAUUGACGGGG
RNAcentral lists this ribosomal RNA (396 nucleotides) under uncultured bacterium. RNAcentral's name for it is "partial 16S ribosomal RNA". It matches the Rfam family "Bacterial small subunit ribosomal RNA", at positions 523 to 918 of the family's 1533-position model. The record is from RNAcentral.